RNAcentral lists this long non-coding RNA (763 nucleotides) under Triticum aestivum (bread wheat). RNAcentral's name for it is "long non-coding RNA (TAES_LNC025178)". Lineage: Eukaryota; Viridiplantae; Streptophyta; Magnoliopsida; Poales; Poaceae. The record is from RNAcentral.
CUGCUGACUCUGUUUACAUUUGGAAUAUCUAAUUUUUUAGAAAUUCUGAUUUUAUGGUUUCAUUUGGAGCGACAACCAUAUGAUACCAGGGGCUAUGAUUGGAUGCACAACCACAUUGGUCCUCCACACAGUACAGAAUCAAAAGUGUUUCUAAGUUUCACCAAAUCUACUCCUCCAGGUUAAGUCGCUGACAACACAAAACGGAAAUUAACCAAAAUUAUAGUGUCAAUUUUGCUGCUAGUCGCUCCAUUACAUUACAGUCCAUGGGGGUGUUGUAACCUCAGACUCGGCUAUCAAGGGUCUCUCCAGGCAAACGGCCAGCUACCAAAACGGUGAACCAUGGAUGAUAGAUCAGCGCCUCUUCUUGCCAGACUUUGAGCCGGCAGAUUUCGAUGGGCUCGCGACCAGGUAGAUGAACCCCAGAACGAAGGAAACAACGGACACCAGUGCUCCAUACUUCGCAACAAGUUUCUGCACAUGGACAGUCUCUUAGAAUCUCACACCAGGGAAUAUCAUGGCAGCUUAUUUCGAUGGAGAAGAAAUGAAAUGAAAUUACCUUAGCCUGAACAGCACAUGAGAGCAAAUCCAGAGAUAUCCAGAGCAAGGGUAUCAACCCCACAAAAUAGCAUGGAAAAAAUUAGAAUCACCAAGGAGAUAUUACCAGAAUGAAAAUGCACAUGAUCACUUACCCAUUCAAACUUCUUCACUGGAGGUCUUUCAGCAAGAAUGUCCAGGGGGAGGAUGGGAGUUGAGUAGGCCUCCU